ACAACAUUCGGACCGUCGGUCUACCGAGCAAUAUCACCCGCUCGGUGGAAGAUCUUCCCUCCGUCGU
This is a non-coding RNA of Bombyx mori (domestic silkworm), 67 nucleotides long. The record is from Rfam. NCBI's taxonomy places the organism in Eukaryota, Metazoa, Arthropoda, Insecta, Lepidoptera, Bombycidae.